Molecule: ribosomal RNA, 406 nt
Filed under: uncultured bacterium
Lineage: Bacteria
Description: partial 16S ribosomal RNA
Rfam family: Bacterial small subunit ribosomal RNA
Source: RNAcentral
AUUGAACGCUGGCGGCAGGCCUAACACAUGCAAGUCGAACGAGUGGCGGACGGGGGAGUAAUGUCUGGGAAACUGCCCGAUGGAGGGGGAUAACUACUGGAAACGGUAGCUAAUACCGCAUACCCUCGGGUGUGCGCAGAGGUGAUUAGCUUUUAGGGGAGGUCACGGCUCACCUAGGCGACGCUCCCUAGCUGGUCUGAGAGGAUGACCAGCCACACUGGAACUGAGCCACGGUCCAGACUCCUACGGGAGGCAGCAGUGGGGAAUAUUGCACAAGGGGCGCAAGCCUGAUGCAGCCAUGCCGCGUGUAUGAAGAAGGCCUUCGGGUUGUAAAGUACUUUCAGCGGGGAGGCGUUACCCGCAGAAGAAGCACCGGCUAACUCCGUGCCAGCAGCCGCGGUAAUUC